Molecule: ribosomal RNA, 460 nt
Filed under: uncultured bacterium
Lineage: Bacteria
Description: partial 16S ribosomal RNA
Rfam family: Bacterial small subunit ribosomal RNA
Source: RNAcentral
CCUACGGGAGGCAGCAGUGAGGAAUAUUGGUCAAUGGACGAGAGUCUGAACCAGCCAAGUAGCGUGAAGGAUGACUGCCCUAUGGAUUGUAAACUUCUUUUAUAUGGGAAUAAAAUGUUCCACGUGUGGGAUUUUGUAUGUACCAUAUGAAUAAGGAUCGGCUAACUCCGUGCCAGCAGCCGCGGUAAUACGGAGGAUCCGAGCGUUAUCCGGAUUUAUUGGGUUUAAAGGGAGCGUAGGUGGAUUGUUAAGUCAGUUGUGAAAGUUUGCGGCUCAACCGUAAAAUUGCAGUUGAAACUGGCAGUCUUGAGUACAGUAGAGGUGGGCGGAAUUCGUGGUGUAGCGGUGAAAUGCUUAGAUAUCACGAAGAACUCCGAUUGCGAAGGCAGUUCACUGGACUGCAACUGACACUGAGGCUCGAAAGUGUGGGUAUCAAACAGGAUUAGAUACCCGAGUAGUC